CUCAGCUCUGUCAAACAAACAUUUCCAGAGAAAUGAAACUGAACAGAAAGACAACACCCUAAACUCUUGCCACUGUUCAGUCGGUUAGUCUGUGUAUCAACAUGGCAGAGGCAACUUUAGAAGAUAAGGAUUUGAUUACCUGUUCAAUCUGUCUGGACCUACUGAAGGAUCCAGUGACUACUGCCUGUGGACACAGUUACUGUAUGGGCUGUAUUAAUGACUGCUGGAAUCAGGAUGAUCUGAAAGGUAACUACAGCUGUCCCUUGUGCAUGGAAAGAUUCACCCCAAAACCUGUCCUGAAGAAAAACAUAUUACUGGCUGAAUUAGUGGAGAAACAGAAGAAGACAGGACUCAGAUCUACUCCUCCUGCUCUCUGUUAUGCUGUACCUGGAGAUGUGGAGUGUGACUUAUGCACUGGGAGAAAACUCAAAGCAAUCCAGUCCUGUCUGGUGUGUCUCGCCUCUUACUGUAAGACUCACCUCCAGCCUCACUAUGAUUCCCCUGCUUUUAAGAAGCACAAAAAGAAGCUUGUUGAAGCCUCCACACAACUACAGGAGAAGAUCUUCCCUCAUCAUGGCAGUCUGCUGGAUGAUUACUGCUGUACUCAUCAACAGUGUAUCUUUCUGCUGUUUGUGGUGGAUGAACAUAGAGGCCAUGAUACAGUUUCAGCAGAAAGGAGAAAGAAACAGAGGAGACCCGGCCAUCGCUAUGCAACCCAGGUCAUGAGGCCACAACAUUUUCAGUACAUGCAACUGACCAUGAAGCCCACCUUCCAGGCUGCAGCGCCUUGCAUGUGUUCCACUCAGCACACGGCCGGUCAGAACAUGGGCCUCUGCUUAUUUAUUAGUAUUAUUUUGUUUGUUUGGUUGUUUUUACUGUGAAGAGUUAAAUAGUAGAAUACAUAAGGCACCAUUUUGAAAUGUCGUAGUGUGCAGCAGUUUUCCUCGUUAUGUCAGUCACUGUCAGACCUAUGCAAGCUAUUUACUAGGCCUACCUGUCAGAAAUGUCCAGUUGAUCAAUUUAGUGACAGAGGCAGGACAAGCAGGGCCCGUGUGCAAAAUAUUUAUCACAGUGGGGGCACAACCAAAUCUUGCCAGGGGCCCCCAAGAAGCAGGCCAGUGGAACAGAAGCAAAUGCUGGGUGAGCGCCUCUUCCCGCUCAACCAGAAUAUGCACUCCAGCCUGACUGGAAAGAUUGACAUGUUGCUGGAGAGUCUCCAGAGUCUCUCCUCAUCCAGUUGGAUGAAGCCAUGGCAGUGCUGCAGAUUUACCAGAGAUGAAACUACUCAUCUGGUGUUCCAAUUGUCAUUAUAAGCCACUGAAUUGGGAACCUUGAAUCUCACUUGACUGAGGAAAAACAUAACAUUGAAAAAUAACUAAAACAUAAAACAAUGCACAUUUACUUUGCUUUCAUGAAUAACAUUUUUUUUAUAUAUUAGAUUUUAUAAAGUGGCGUUGAUGUAGGAUUAGGGGGCACUACUCCCUGGUCUAUAAAGCCAGGGUGAAGUUGCCUCUAGACACUGGUCUAUAAAGCCAGGGUGAAGUUGCCUCUAGACACUGGUCUAUAAAGCCAGGGUGAAGUUGCCUCUAGACACUGGUCUAUAAAGCCAGGGUGAAGUUGCCUCUAGACACUGGUCUAUGGUCAGUUGGUCAUUCGGUCAUUUGUCAGCAAAAGGCAGUAGGAUGACGUGUACCAUUGCACAGACCACAGACCCUUUAUCCAGAUCAUCUGUGAGUAUACUGAGACCUAUUUAGUGAUCAAGAAAUUGUGAGCUUCUGCUGGUGGGCCUUUUCUAUAUCCAGGGCAAGUUAAGGGUUGCGGUCGAAGUAUGGUUUAAGACUGAAUGUUAAAUCGUUUGGACUGUUGUUCUCUCUCCUCUCUCCCUCCCUCUCCCCACACCCCUCACGUAAAACUAUGAAAAUGUAAUAUUAUUUUAACAAACUCUACCAUUUUAUUCAUUGUAUAUGACAUGUCAUUGUGUAAAAUAAAUACAUGAAGUAUU
Long non-coding RNA from Oncorhynchus tshawytscha (Chinook salmon), 2002 nucleotides. RefSeq lists it as uncharacterized. The transcript is spliced from 2 exons. NCBI's taxonomy places the organism in Eukaryota, Metazoa, Chordata, Actinopteri, Salmoniformes, Salmonidae. The record is from RefSeq and is a predicted model, not a curated record.